GACCUAUAGUUACUGGCUGCCUUUCCUACAGCAUAUUAGGAAGGUGGGCUUCUCUCUUUUUAUUGCUAUGAAAAGAGACCAUUUGUCACUGAGGGCCUGCCCCACCUUGCCUCACCAGCCCCAGAUGUGCAGUUAAGGCAGAAUCGUAAGUGAGAACAAGCAGUUGUCCCAGUGCCUUCUCACUUGGCCUUUUCUGUCUCUGGGGACCCUAUCUGAGCUACUCUGGAAGUGGUUCUCAAAGAUCAGUUUCCCGAGGAAGUAAGAAAACAAUUCAGGCCAGGUGCGGGGGCUCGCGUCUGUAAUCCCAGCACUUUGGGAGGCCAAGGCGGGUGGAUCACAAGGUCAAGAGAUCGACACCAUCUUGGCUAACACGGUGAAACCCCAUCUCUACUGAGAAUACAAAAGAUUAGCCAGAUGUAGUGGCGUUCGCCUAUAGUCCCAGCUACUCUAGAGACUGAGACAGGAGAAUCACAUGAACCCGGGAGGCGGAGCUUACAGUGAGCCAAAAUCGCACCACUGCACUCCAACCUGGGCGACAGAAUGAGACUCUGUCUCAAAAAAAAAAAAAAUCAGGCAAACACUGUGCAUUACUCAUCCACUAUCCAUCCCCUCUUUCUUCAUUAUUAAGACCCAUUUUUUUCUUUUAAGAUGUCAACAUGGUCAGCUAAAAACACUUGGUUACAGCUAAGACUAGCCAAAUGACACAGUUAAGGCCAAAGAUAUAAGUGGAAGUCUCUAGGGGAGGACACUUCUAUCAUAAUAAAAAGACAAAGGCUCCUGUGGAAAAGGCAUUUUGCACCUCACCCUUAUUCUGUUUUCCAGCCUGGAACAUGGACAGUGAGGCCUGGAGGUAUAGCAGCCAUAGUGUGAUCAUGAAACAACAAGCUAUGAGGAAAAUAGUAGAUGUCCUAUAUAUAAUAAAGGGCCAAAAAAUGAAAAGGCACUGGGUCUCAGAAGAUGGAAUCUCCGGAAUCCUGAAUCAAACCUGAACAUCCUACUCCAGACUUCUUGUAUAAGACAAUUGAAGCCGCUAGCAUUAGUUAGGUUUUUUGCAACUUAUAGUUGAAAAAACCCCUAACUAGUAGAGAAUUUGAUAUUUUAAAGUGGAAUCCUCAAGUAAAAGAAUCUAAAAUGUAGGGGCCGGGCGCAGUGGCUCACACCUGUCAUCCCAGCACUUUGGGAGGCCGAGGUGGACAAUCACGAGGUCAGGAGUUCGACACCAGCCUGACCAAUAUGGUGAAACUCCACCUCUAAAAUCUAAAAUGUGAACUUGGCUAAGUAGAGGGAGGAAGGUAGUGAGAUAUGAUGACCCAAUAUGUCAGGCUGGAAAGUCAGGACCUUUGUUGUGAAAUGACAAUAUAUUUGGUCAGACCAUGGCAUAUCUUGCAAUAUGGACCAAAUAGAAACCUAGGUGUAAUGAUAGAGGAAGUGGUAGAAAAAAGUUUAGAAAGUUAGCAUGAGCUGGUUCCUUGCAUCUUUCAUCAACGACCUACAAGAGUAGGAUGCUGCUAUUGCAAAAAAACUGAAACAGGUGUCACUGGCUUUGGGAACAGGCAAUGGGUGAAAGCCGGAAGGGUCUCUAGAAGAUUGUUAGUAAUGAUUUGAAGGACAGUGAGGAAAUUGUUACUGGAAUCUAGAAAAAAGAGAUCCUGUUAGGUAAUAGCAGAAUGUCUGGCAACACUGUUAUCUGUGGUUACAUGGAAAACAGAAAGGUACCUAAUCAGUUUAUGGAUAUGAGUAAGGAGAUUUUUAUGCAGAAUAUGAAAGUACCAGUUGGCUUCUUCUGGCUGCCUAUGAUAAAAUAUGAGACUAGAAAGUUGAACUAAGCCAGACAUGGUGGCUCAUGCCUGUAAUCCCAGCACUUUGGGAGGCCAAGGUGGGCGGACCACAAGGUCAGGAGAUCAAGACCAUCCUGGCCAAUAUGGUGAAACUCCAUCUCUACUAAAGAUACAAAAAAUUAGCUGAGCAUUGUGGUGCAUGCCUGUAGUCCCAGCUACUAGGGAAACUGAGGCAGGAGAACUGCUUGAACCCGGGAGGCAGAGGUUGCAGUGAGCCAAGUCGUGCCACUGCACUCCAGCCUGGCAACAGAGCGAGACUCUGUCUCAAAAAAAAAAAAAAAAAA
Molecule: long non-coding RNA, 2122 nt
Filed under: Macaca fascicularis (crab-eating macaque)
Lineage: Eukaryota; Metazoa; Chordata; Mammalia; Primates; Cercopithecidae
Description: lncRNA (ENSMFAG00000051802.1)
Source: RNAcentral